GAAACCUUGGCACAAAAAGGGAAAGAGAACAAACACGUCGCGCACAGCCCAAGACGGGCACCCGUGCCCCCGCCCCCAAGCCCAGCCAAAGGUUCUUUCAGCGAGACGAGCCAGAGGCUCCGGGGUCGAGUGCCCAUCCCCCGGCAACUCGGACCCUGUACCACGCCACGCCAGAGCCAAAGCGCUGCACAACCAGAUCACUUGAUCUGGAGGGAAUCUGCUGAUAUGUCAUGAGGACACACAAACAUCCCUGUGGAUAAGCCAUGAAGCGAGGAGCCAGGACCUCCUGCCAACAGCCAUAAGCCAAAAUUAACAAUCAAGAACCAAGACUGCGGUAUAUUAUUUGUGGAGGUAUACUGACCAAUGAAACAAUAAGACUCUGGACCCUGGAAAGAGAGAGGGUCUGAAGGCUGAGUUCAGUCACUUAUGGGCAAUGAUUGAAUCAACCAUCCCUAUCUAAUGGAACCUCCCUAAAAACCCCUAAAUGAUGGAGUUUGGAGAGCUUCCAGGUUUGUGAACACACUGAGGUGCUGGGAGGGUUGUAUGCCAAGAGCGAAUGGAAGUCUUGUGUCCCCAGCCCUGUGCCUUGACCUAUGCAUCUCUUCCAUUUAGCUGUUACUGAGUUGUAGCCUCUCAUAAUAAACUGGUAAUAGUAAGUAAUGUGUUUUCCUGAGUCCUGUAACCUGUUCUAGCAAAUUAUUGAAACUAAGGAGGGGAUCGUGGCAACUCCUGAUUUAUAGUGGGUUGGUCAGAAGUACAGGUGGCAACCUAGGACUUGCAACAGUUAUCUUUAGCUGGGGCAGUCUUGUGGGGCUAAGUCCUUAAUCUACAGGUAGUUAGUGUCAGAACUGAAUUGAAUUGUAGAACACACAGCCAGUGUUCAGGAAGCUGGAGAAUUGGUUACUGUGGGGAAAAAGAACCCAUGUACUUAGUGUCAGAAGUGGUGUUAGAAAACACUAUAGGUGAUAUGAUUAUAUUUAUACAAAAUGACAGAAAAGGUAAAUCUAUGGAGACUAAAAGUAGA
Molecule: non-coding RNA, 1024 nt
Organism: Vicugna pacos (alpaca)
Lineage: Eukaryota; Metazoa; Chordata; Mammalia; Artiodactyla; Camelidae
Source: RefSeq, a predicted model, not a curated record